RNAcentral lists this ribosomal RNA (253 nucleotides) under uncultured bacterium. RNAcentral's name for it is "partial 16S ribosomal RNA". It matches the Rfam family "Bacterial small subunit ribosomal RNA", at positions 524 to 776 of the family's 1533-position model. The record is from RNAcentral.
UACGUAGGGAGCGAGCGUUGUCCGGAUUUACUGGGUGUAAAGGGUGCGUAGGCGGCUAUGCAAGUCAGUAGUGAAAUCCAUGGGCUUAACCCAUGAACUGCUAUUGAAACUGCACAGCUUGAGUGAAGUAGAGGUAGGCGGAAUUCCCGGUGUAGCGGUGAAAUGCGUAGAGAUCGGGAGGAACACCAGUGGCGAAGGCGGCCUACUGGGCUUUAACUGACGCUGAGGCACGAAAGCGUGGGGAGCAAACAGG